Long non-coding RNA from Girardinichthys multiradiatus, 987 nucleotides. RefSeq lists it as uncharacterized. Lineage: Eukaryota; Metazoa; Chordata; Actinopteri; Cyprinodontiformes; Goodeidae. The record is from RefSeq and is a predicted model, not a curated record. The transcript is spliced from 3 exons.
UUGGCAGAGGACUGUCUCUCCCUUGCAAGUCAAACUUACUUGGUUCAUCUGUGCCUUAUUCAUACACUUGUUUGUAAUUAUCAGCUUUUUAACUCAAACAUCUGCCGUGUGGGGUUCCUGUGUGCGCAGCCUCCAGAACGUCUGGAGAACAAAAAUCCUGUACAGUGAAUUCUGUGUUGGUAACCGCCGAAUCGACCGAGGGGCACUGGGAGGGUGGAUCAACGCGUUCCAACAGACAGUGUGAACGAACGCACAGGGUUUUUUAACAUCUUGGACAUCUCAAUCAUCUUGUCCAUGGAUUCUCUCCAGUGCACCAUAUCAUCUCUUACUCAGCUUCUCCAGGAGUUUGCCUCCAAUUCUGCCACGUCAGCACUUCCUAUUCUCCGCUCUGCCGACGUUCAACUUGCUCCUUGGUCCCUCCCACUGACAUUAACCCUCGCAACGCUCGUCCUGGCUCGUCUCUAAGGAUCCUAUACUCCCACUCAGGCUCCGCUCCAAAUCCUGCAAGGGCAGCUCAUUAAUCUGGAGCAGCUUGUCCUCGUUCUGGGCUCCGAGAGUUCCCCAGACUCUGUUCCUGUCUCUGGUCCCCUCGGCUCUGUUCCUGUCUCGGAGGUUCCGCCAGACUCCACGCCUGACUAUGAGGCACCUGGCUCACAGCCUGUCAAUGAGGUGCCUGGCUUACAGCCUGUCUACGAGGUGCCUGGCUCACAGCCUGUCUACGAGGCGCCUGCCUCCAAGCCUCUGGAGUUCCACAGAGUUUCUGGGAGGCCUUCUACGCUCCAUGGUCGGCCUCCUGAUCUGCCGCACUGAGGGUCCACUACUCUGCUCGGUCGGCCUCCCGACCAACCUGCGGCAUCGCCGGCCGCCCAGGUCUCUACGUCUCUGCCGAUCUCCAGGUCUUCGCCGCCGUCGCCGGCUGAUCAGGCCUCUGAGUAGGGGGUCCUGGACUCCUCAUGAACUCUGUGCCUGCUCGGGACGACCUCCUGG